GGGAUGUGAUGAGUGGUCAUAGCUCGCAACGACGUUGUGAGAUGAGUGCCCGCCCCAAGCCUGGUUACGACACAGGGGCACUCUCUUCGGUACCAAUCUGAUCCC
Telopea speciosissima is the source of this 105-nucleotide small nucleolar RNA. RefSeq annotates it as small nucleolar RNA Z279/snoR105/snoR108. The record is from RefSeq and is a predicted model, not a curated record. The transcript has a single exon. NCBI's taxonomy places the organism in Eukaryota, Viridiplantae, Streptophyta, Magnoliopsida, Proteales, Proteaceae.